Dama dama (fallow deer) is the source of this 1887-nucleotide long non-coding RNA. RefSeq lists it as uncharacterized. The record is from RefSeq and is a predicted model, not a curated record. NCBI's taxonomy places the organism in Eukaryota, Metazoa, Chordata, Mammalia, Artiodactyla, Cervidae. The transcript is spliced from 3 exons.
AUGACAACAAGAAGAUCGGAGCCUUCUGAGAGGCAGCCUGAUUCCUGGGAAAGAGCAUUGGCUAGAAGUCUGAAGGCCUGGGCUACUUUUACUCUGUUAUUAAAUUGCUGCUGGACCCUGGCUUUGCCAGAAGGGUAGAGAGACACUGAUGAACACUGGCCAUCUCAGCAUCCAACUCAGCACCUGGGCCACAGUAAGCACGCUGUGAAUGUUGAUUUGAGCAAGUGAACCGAUUGAAGGAAAAAUCUCCAGGAAAUGCAUCUUACAAUCUCACCAACAAGUGCAGCAUCUGGAUGGAAGCAGCAGAUAUCAAGCCAUCUCAGGUUGUCUGCUGCAGACUUGUGUGGAGAAUCCCACAAGGUGAAACCAGAAUCCUCAAGGUGAGAUAGGACUUUGCAUUGGAAGCUUUAAAAUGUAAUGCCUGGCUUUGUUUUUUGUUUUUGUUUUUUUUUGUUUUUUUGUUUUUUUACAGUCCAAAGGGAUAUUUCCCCAAAUAAUAUUUUUUUCCAUUUAUUUUUAUUAGUUGGAGGCUAAUUACUUUACAAUAUUGUAGUGGUUUUUGCCAUACAUUGACAUGAAUCAGCCAUGGAUUUACAUGUAUUCCCCAUCCCGAUCCCCCCUCCCACCUCCCUCUCCACCCGAUCCCUCUGGGUGUUCCCAGUGCACCAGCCCCAAGCACUUGCCUCACAAUACCUGGCUUUGAAAGUGAAAGUGAAAGCCACUCAGUUGUGUCCAACUCUUUGUGAUCCCAUGGACUAUGCAGUCCAUGGAAUUCUCCAGGCCAGAAUACUGGAGUGGGUAGCCAUUCCCUUCUCCAGGGAAUCUUCCCAACCCAGGUAUGGAACUUAGGUCUCCCGCAUUGCGGUCAGAUUCUUUACCAGCUGAGCCACAAGAGAAGCCCAAGAAUACUGGAGUGGGUAGCCUUUCCCUUCUCCAGGGAAUCUUCCCUACCCAGGGAUUGAACCCAGGUCUCCCACAUCGAAGGCAGAUUCUUUACCAACUAAGCCACAAGAGAAACGCAAGAAUAUUGGAAUGGGAAGCCUAUCACUUCCCCAGUGGAUCUUCCUGACCUAGGAAUCGAACUGGGGUCUCCUGCAUUGCAGGCCAAUACUUUACCAACUGAGCUAUCAGGGAAGUCCGCCUGGCUUUGAAGAAGCUGAAUAACACAAUUUACUGUGCAUUUACUAUUCAGAAAACUAACAUCAUGGCAUCCGAUCCCAUCACUUCAUGGCAAAUAGAUGGGGAAACAGUGGAAAUAGUGGCUGACUUUAUUUUUCUGGGCUCCAAAAUCACUGCAGAUGGUGACUGCAGCCAUGAAAUUAAAAGACGCUUACUCCUUGGAAGAAAGCUAUGACCAACCUAGACAGCAUAUUAAAAAGUAGAGGCAUUACUUUGCCAACAAAGGUCCGUCUAGUCAAGGCUAUGGUUUUUCCAGUGGUCAUGUAUGGAUGUGAGAGUUGGACUAUAAAGAAAGCUGAGUGCUGAAGAAUUGAUGCUUUUGAACUGUGGUGUUGGAGAAGACUCUUGAGAGUCCCUUGGAGUGCAAGGAGAUCCAACCAGUCCAUCCUAAAGGAGAUCAGUCCUGAAUGUUCAUUGGAAGGACUGAUGUUGAAGCUGAAACUCCAAUACUUUGGUCACCUGAUGUGAAGAGCUGACUGAUUUGAAAAGACCCUGAUGCUGGGAAAUAUUGAGGGCAGGAGGAGAAGGGGACAACAGAGGACAAGAUGAUUGGAUGGCAUCACCAACUCGAUGGACAUGGCUUUGGGUAGACUCUGGGAGUUGGUGAUGGACAGGGAAGGGAGGCCUGGCGUGCUGCGGUUCAUAGGGUCGCAAAGUCAGACACGACUGAGCGACUGAACUGAACUGAACCAUGCAUUGAUCUGACUA